This 301-nucleotide long non-coding RNA is filed under the name Elaeis guineensis (African oil palm). RNAcentral describes it as "long non-coding RNA (EGUI_LNC036026)". Lineage: Eukaryota; Viridiplantae; Streptophyta; Magnoliopsida; Arecales; Arecaceae. The record is from RNAcentral.
UGGACUGGUGCUGAUCUUCUGUUAAAAUUGCAGGCAUGCCGCCGAGGGUGAGGCUGACAGAUGCCGACAUUCGGCAACAUGCAGCGAGGAAGAGGCCGGCUACCGGGGCCGGGCCCUCGCGGCCUCCUAAGAGGCCUCAGACAGCAUCGCCGACCGACCCUGCGGCGACGGGAUCAUAGCCCGACUCCGAACGUGCGUCGGGCCAUGAGCCGAUUAUUGCACUGUCAGUGCCGACGAUGCCUUCCGAAGCACCGUUCGAGGAACGGACAGCCGAGGGAGCAGUCGAAGAUGUGCCGGCUGC